GGUCCCAUGGGAUAAUUGUAGUCCCAUGGGAUAAAAAAAUCCCAUGGGACUUUAAUUAUCCCAUGGGAUU
This 70-nucleotide small RNA is filed under the name Mytilus galloprovincialis (Mediterranean mussel). The record is from RNAcentral. Lineage: Eukaryota; Metazoa; Mollusca; Bivalvia; Mytilida; Mytilidae.